Molecule: long non-coding RNA, 2997 nt
Filed under: Homo sapiens (human)
Lineage: Eukaryota; Metazoa; Chordata; Mammalia; Primates; Hominidae
Description: non-protein coding LINC02541:56
Source: RNAcentral
AGACGUGCACUGCAGCAGCACCGGGACUUGACAGCCCUACGGCUCGAUCAGCUUUCUGUUUUCAUUGCCUUACGAUGCCAUGAGUGGAACUAUUGUCAAAUCAGAGUUCACUCCCCAGCUUUUCAGUCUUUCCCCUAAUUCUUGCUCUAUCAGAGGUCGAGGACAACAGUAUAAUGAUUCAUAGGUUCUACUUCCUGGCAAGUAAUCAUUUUCCCACGGGCCCUUGUGAAUUGAUGAAUAUGAAGACACUAAGAAAGCAGAAAUAGAACUGAGAAGAAUGAAAUAACUGUCUCUACCUUUCUCGAAUUGUCUAAUAUGGAAAGAAUGAAAGACAGCUAAUAAGCAACUCUCUGCAAGAAGACAUAUGGCUUAGGUUCUGCUGAGCUAUUGGUGAUUUGAUUCCAUGCAUAUGUAUUCACUACUGGUAUAAGUAUAUACAAUAUAUGUGUUUCUGCAAAGAAUCGUAGACUUGAUGCAUUUUUUAAUAUUUCUUAAGGACUUACUACUGAGUGUCAGUAUGAGAGGAUCGUUUACUUCCUUUUCCCAUUAAUUUUGAUAGCCUGGAUUGAGCAACUUUCUUACCUAGUUUUGUUUUAUGAGGUGCAUUAGCUUUUUCUUUGUGUGUAUGUUUGUGUGUGUGUAGCUUUAUUAACCAUAUUGUUUGGGCUUUUGAUAAAGCAGAGAUUCUGAUAUGGUAUACAUUUUGAACUAAGCAUUCAUUUAUUCAGCAGGGAUGUAUGUUUAAGACACUGUGUUAGCCAAGGGUGAGAAGGCGUGUGGAAUGGUAGAGGAGCAAGGUGAGGUAAGAUGAUUAAAAGACACCAGCUGAGAGUGUUAUUUUAUAUGGCAGAAGGAUGUUUGCAGAUGCAAUUAAGUUAAGGACCUUGAGAUGGGGUAUGUUAUCCUGGUAGGCCCAAUGUAUACAUCAGGGUCCUUAUGAAAGGGAGGCAGGAGAACAGAAUGAGUAGUGAGAAGAGUGAAUGGACAAUACUGAGGACAUGCUUAGGGACCCAAAGAAGCUUGCUAUGGUAGGGCUUGGUGGACUCUGUACUGAUGAGAAAGGCUAGGCCAUGCUAUGGAAGCAAAUAAAUCUGUUGUAAAGUGACAGAGUUUCUCUCUUGCUCAUGCAAAGUCUGCUAAAUGGCUGAGUGAUUCUCAAGGGCAUCCCUCACUCAUGUGAUGGCUCUGCUGUGUGUGCAUCCCUGCUAGCCAGGCAGGUCAGGAGAAUGUUAGAAAUGAAACACUUCCUUCUGGUGGCCAAAAGAAGUCACAUGGCUACAUCUGUUAAUAAUUCGAAGGUUGUAGACAGUAUAAUAUUCCCUUGUCCUAAAAGAGGGAAGCUAGAAAUAUUGGUAAGCAGCACAUAUAUCUUCCCCAUGAUCCCAACUUUGUUGGGUAGAGAAGCAUUUUAAAUAACUUUGGAAUUUACAUAUAUUCCUCAAAUAUCUAGUGGUAACUCCAUGUCUAAAUCCAGGGUACCCACUUUCUUCCCUAAACAUGUUUGAAAGUCCUGCAUUCUCUCAGUAUUGUUACAGAGCCACAUUUCAGUUGAAUUGGUAGUGCUGAGAAAAGCGUUAUUUAUUUUAUUUUUAUUUUAGUUUUUUUUAGAGACUGGGUUUUGCUGUGUUGCCCCGGCUGAUCUUGCACUCCUGGUCUCAAGUGCUCCUCCUAUCUCAGCCAUCCGAAUAGCUGGUAUUACAUGUGCACACCAUAAUGAGAAAAGCAUUAUGAUUAACCUAGUAAAUUGAUUUUUAAUACUGCAUUAUUUGAUUUUCAAGGACUUAAAAAACCACUUCCAGAGAGCUAGACACAAUGAAUACAAGCAAGCUAAUAAUGAAAGUGAGAAACCACAUGCUGCUGAAUUGACACACACAAAAAUGCAGAUGUGGCCAGGUGCAGUGGCUCACGUCUGUAAUCCUAGCACUUUGGGAGGCUGAGGAAGGCGGAUCACCUGAGGUCAGGAGUUCGAGACCAGCCUGGCCAACAUGGUGAAACCCCAUCUCCAUUAAAAAUACAAAAAUUAGCCGGGCAUGGUGGCAUGCACCUGUAAUCCCAGCUACUUGGGAGGCUGAGGCAGGAGAAUCACUUGAACCUAGGAGGGGGAGGUUGCAGUGAGCCAAGAUCGCACCACUGCACUCCAGCCUGGGCGACAGAGCGAGAAUCCAUCUAAAGAAAAAAAUGCAGAUGAAGGGCCUGCCUUGAUUGUCCUGUGAACAGUUUGUGUGCAGUGGGGAGGCUGAAGGUCUGGCCUCCUUUGCUUCUGGUGUCUUCACCGCCACCACUUCUGCCCCUGUGUCUCUAUAUAGUGUAAGGGAUUGGUAUUAAUUAUUUCCCAUUUUACAGAUGAGGAAACUGAAAUCCAGAGAAAUGGAGUGAGUUGGCCAAGUGCACACAGCUCAUUUCUUACCUAGUAUUUACUGUUCACACACUGUAUAGACCCUUUAAUAAGCUAAUCUAAAAGAUUAAUCUAAAAGAUUAGAUACAUUACCUCGUUUCAGUGCCACUAUAGCCUGGCAUUGUACAUAUCACUAUCUUCCUGUCGAAUAGGAAGGUUCUUAAAUUCUGAGACAUUUGGUAACAUGCCUGAGUUAUGUGUAAAAGCUUAGAUUUGAAUUUGAGCCUCCUGACUUGAAUCUUGCGUUUGACCAUACCACAUCUGCACCUAGCUGUUGGAGGAAUCAGAACGCCCAAGACCCAGAUAACUCUAAAUAAGGCCCAGUCUGAGUCGUGCUUCAUGGUUAGGUUCAUAAGUUCAGUGCUGAAAAGGCUGAUUUUUCCUGUUUUUCUAGGGUCUGUUUGCUGGAUUUAAGAUACGCUCUCUCCAGAAAUAUGACAAAACAAUUGUUUUGUUUGCUCAUUUUUUGUUUUGUUUUGUUUUUCGUUCUUACAAGGUAACUAGUAUCCCUAGCACACCAGAAAUAAUUGGCACUGAUGUUCCUGACAAGAGGAGUCUGCUAAAAGUGACCUUUAAAUGCCUUUUGGUGGAGUGAUUAUUUA